CUGCCUCUUGGACUCCUGGCUGGGCUCCCACUCAUCCUGGUUUCCUUACCCAGCUCCGCCUUUCCACGCCACUCUCUCCCUUCAGCCUGGGGACAACUCCAGGGAGCUCCCGCUUUUACAGGCCCACAGCCAGGGAGAGGAAAGAAGGGCAGAGGGAGAGCGCCGAUCCCAAGGACGCCUCUGGCCAGGUCGGUCAUUGUAUUACCUGCCCACAAAAUGGAUGUAAUGACUCUUCUGUUUGUAUAGCACUUGGCUCGGAAAGCUCUGUACAGAUGACGCGCCACGGGUCCCUCUGAUGCAGGCAGGGAAUUGGACCUGAAGCGGACCUCAGGAAAGAGGAGCGACCCAUAACCAUGGAACGGCAUUAGUAGAAAGACAGGCCCCUGGUCAGGGUUCACCCCACGGAGAGCACCCUUUCCCCCACGCACGGUCAUGCGUAAAUGCCUUCAUCCAAAUACGUGAAUGUAAGAGCAGCUCCUUCCCACUGACAGGUGAAGAGGAAGCCAGAACCCGAGUUCUGAGUGUAGUUUUCCCUAACGAGGCAGCUACUGGGCUUGGCUUGGAGUCAGGGAGACUCAUCUUCUUGAGUUCAAAUCUGGCCUCAGACCCCAGGCAAGUGGUUUUGCCCUGCUUGCCUUUGUUUUCUCAUCUGUAAAAUGAGCCGAAGAGGGAAAUGGCAAAGCACUCUCUCAUCUUUGCCAAGAAAACCCCAAAUGGGGUCAUGAAGGUUCGGGGACGACUAAAAUGACUGAACAAGAGGAAAUUUCCCUAAAGCCGUGGGUCAACAGAGAGAUACUCAAGCUUCUUGGCCAGUCCGCCUGGUGUCCAACAGAAAGCAUUUGUGAGAUGCUUGGCUGGGGAAGGAGUGGACACUCUUGUUGGGGAGCCGAGAUUAUUUUCUCCCCUGGGAGAUGAAUGGACUCCUCAGUGAAUUCAACCUGGAAUUAGAGGACCUAGGUUCAAAUCGUGGCUCUGACUACAGUCCUAGGAUCACCCAGGGCGAGACACAACAUCUUUGGGCUCCAGUUUUCUCGCUUGUAAAAGAAGUGGAGAAAGACACAUCAGUUUACACUCAAAGCCCUGAUGGUAGAGUUCAGCCCCAUAGCCAUCUGAGACCUAUCACGUUCCUUCUACUUUUUUUUCCAUUGUUUGGAAUAAAUAGCUAGGAGAUUUAACUGGAAGAUAAAGAACUUUUCAAAAACAAAACUAAAAUUUCCUCAAGAUAUUUUUUUAAACAAAAUUUCACCUGUCCUAGUGAUUAAAAAAAAGUCUUCUCA
RNAcentral lists this long non-coding RNA (1277 nucleotides) under Monodelphis domestica (gray short-tailed opossum). RNAcentral describes it as "lncRNA (ENSMODG00000033546.2)". Lineage: Eukaryota; Metazoa; Chordata; Mammalia; Didelphimorphia; Didelphidae. The record is from RNAcentral.